CAGAGGGGGCAAGCGUUAUUCGGAAUUAUUGGGCGUAAAGGGCGCGUAGGCGGCCUUGCAAGUGGCGGGUGAAAUCCCUCGGCUUAACCGAGGAACUGCCUGCCAGACUGCAUGGCUUGAGACCGGGAGAGGUGAGUGGAAUUCCCAGUGUAGCGGUGAAAUGCGUAGAUAUUGGGAGGAACACCAGUGGCGAAGGCGGCUCACUGGACCGGUACUGACGCUGAGGCGCGAAAGCGUGGGGAGCAAACAGGAUUAGAUACCCUGGUAGUCCACGCCGUAAACGAUGAGUGCUUGGUGUAGCGGGUAUCGACCCCUGCUGUGCCGAAGUCAACACAUUAAGCACUCCGCCUGGGGAGUACGGUCGCAAGACUG
Molecule: ribosomal RNA, 372 nt
Filed under: uncultured organism
Description: bacterial SSU rRNA
Rfam family: Bacterial small subunit ribosomal RNA
Source: RNAcentral